This 389-nucleotide ribosomal RNA is filed under the name uncultured bacterium. Its description in RNAcentral is "bacterial SSU rRNA". It matches the Rfam family "Bacterial small subunit ribosomal RNA", at positions 30 to 424 of the family's 1533-position model. The record is from RNAcentral.
AUUGAACGCUGGCGGCAUGCCUUACACAUGCAAGUCGAACGGCAGCGGACCUUCGGGUGCCGGCGAGUGGCGAACGGGUGAGUAAUGCAUCGGAACGUGCCAUUGAGUGGGGGAUAACGUAGCGAAAGUUGCGCUAAUACCGCAUAUUCUGUGAGCAGGAAAGCAGGGGACCGCAAGGCCUUGCGCUCUUUGAGCGGCCGAUGUCAGAUUAGCUAGUUGGUGAGGUAACGGCUUACCAAGGCGACGAUCUGUAGCGGGUCUGAGAGGAUGAUCCGCCACACUGGAACUGAGACACGGUCCAGACUCCUACGGGAGGCAGCAGUGGGGAAUUUUGGACAAUGGGGGCAACCCUGAUCCAGCCAUGCCGCGUGAGUGAAGAAGGCCUGGUU